RNAcentral lists this ribosomal RNA (446 nucleotides) under uncultured bacterium. RNAcentral describes it as "bacterial SSU rRNA". It matches the Rfam family "Bacterial small subunit ribosomal RNA", at positions 355 to 822 of the family's 1533-position model. The record is from RNAcentral.
UGGGGAAUAUUGGACAAUGGGCGAAAGCCUGAUCCAGCCAUGCCGCGUGAGUGACGAAGGCCUUCGGAUUGUAAACCACUGUCGCGAGGGACGAAGCUCUGACGGUACCUCGAAAGGAAGCACCGGCUAACUCUGUGCCAGCAGCCGCGGUAAUACAGAGGGUGCGAGCGUUGUCCGGAAUCACUGGGCGUAAAGGGCGCGUAGGCGGCCCGGUAAGUAGGGGGUGAAAUCUCAUGGCUCAACUGUGAGGCUGCCUUCUAGACUGCCAGGCUUGAGCACAGUAGAGGCGAGUGGAAUUCCCGGUGUAGCGGUGGAAUGCGUAGAGAUCGGGAAGAACAUCGGUGGCGAAGGCGGCUCGCUGGGCUGUUGCUGACGCUGAGGCGCGAAAGCGUGGGGAGCAAACAGGAUUAGAUACCCCUGUAGUCCCUGAGCGGGCUGGCAAGGCG